AGCAGCCGCGGUAAUUCCAGCUCCAAUAGCGUAUAUUAAAGUUGUUGCAGUUAAAAAGCUCGUAGUUGAAUUUCGGGGUCAAUAAGUUGGUCAUGCCAAUGGUAUGCACUGGCUUUAUUGAUUCCUACCUCUUGACGAACUGUGAUGCCAUUAAUUUGGUGUUGCAAGGAAUCAGGACUGUUACCUUGAAAAAAUUAGAGUGUUUAAAGCAAGCUUACGCUUGAAUACAUUAGCAUGGAAUAAUGAAAUAGGACGUUUGAUCCUAUUUUGUUGGUUUCUAGGAUCGACGUAAUGAUUAAUAGGGAUAGUUGGGGGCAUUAGUAUUCAAUUGUCAGAGGUGAAAUUCUUGGAUUUAUUGAAGACUAACUACUGCGAAAGCAUUUGCCAAGGAUGUUUUCAUUAAUCAAGAACGAAAGUUAGGGGAUCGAAGACGAUCAGAUACCGUCGUAGUCUUAACCAUAAACUAUGCC
RNAcentral lists this ribosomal RNA (470 nucleotides) under uncultured Glomus. RNAcentral describes it as "SSU rRNA". It matches the Rfam family "Eukaryotic small subunit ribosomal RNA", at positions 569 to 1043 of the family's 1831-position model. Lineage: Eukaryota; Fungi; Glomeromycota; Glomeromycetes; Glomerales; Glomeraceae. The record is from RNAcentral.